This 550-nucleotide ribosomal RNA is filed under the name uncultured Glomus. RNAcentral's name for it is "SSU rRNA". It matches the Rfam family "Eukaryotic small subunit ribosomal RNA", at positions 549 to 1098 of the family's 1831-position model. Lineage: Eukaryota; Fungi; Glomeromycota; Glomeromycetes; Glomerales; Glomeraceae. The record is from RNAcentral.
UGGAGGGCAAGUCUGGUGCCAGCAGCCGCGGUAAUUCCAGCUCCAAUAGCGUAUAUUAAAGUUGUUGCAGUUAAAAAGCUCGUAGUUGAAUUUCGGGGUUCAUACGUUGGUCGGGCUUUUUGGUCUGUACUAGCGUAAUGGAUUCCUACCUUCUGAAUAACCGGCAUGCCAUUAAUUUGGUGCGCCGGGGAAGCAGGACUGUUACCUUGAAAAAAUUAGAGUGCUUAAAGCAGGCUAUCGCCUGAAUACAUUAGCAUGGAAUAAUGAAAUAGGACGGCAUGGUUCUAUUUUGUUGGUUUCUAGGAUCACCGUAAUGAUUAAUAGGGAUAGUUGGGGGCAUUAGUAUUCAAUUGUCAGAGGUGAAAUUCUUGGAUUUAUUGAAGACUAACUUCUGCGAAAGCAUUUGCCAAGGAUGUUUUCAUUAAUCAAGAACGAAAGUUAGGGGAUCGAAGACGAUCAGAUACCGUCGUAGUCUUAACCAUAAACUAUGCCGACUAGGGAUCGGGCGAUGUUAAUUUUUUAAUGACUCGUUCGGCGCCUUACGGGAAAC